Molecule: ribosomal RNA, 435 nt
Filed under: uncultured bacterium
Lineage: Bacteria
Description: bacterial SSU rRNA
Rfam family: Bacterial small subunit ribosomal RNA
Source: RNAcentral
AACGCGAAGAACCUUACCUGGGCUUGACAUCCUGUGAACAUCUAAGAGAUUAGGUUUCCGAGCAAUCGGACACAGAGACAGGUGCUGCAUGGCUGUCGUCAGCUCGUGCCGUGAGGUGUUGGGUUAAGUCCCGCAACGAGCGCAACCCUUGUCGUGUGUUGGUCCACAAGAUCUCUCACACGAGACCGCCGGUGACAAGCCGGAGGAAGGUGGGGAUGACGUCAAGUCAGCAUGGCCCUUACGUCCAGGGCUACACACGUGCUACAAUGCGCGCGACAGCGAGUCGCAAACCCGCGAGGGUAAGCUAAUCUCUUAAACGCGCGCUCAGUUCGGAUUGCAGUCUGCAACUCGGCUGCAUGAAGCUGGAAUCGCUAGUAAUGGCGUAUCAGAUCGACGCCGUGAAUACGUUCCCGGGCCUUGUACACACCGCGCAUA